GACGAACGCUGGCGGCGUGCUUAACACAUGCAAGUCGAACGGAAAGGCCCUGCUUUUGUGGGGUGCUCGAGUGGCGAACGGGUGAGUAACACGUGAGUAACCUGCCCUUGACUUUGGGAUAACUUCAGGAAACUGGGGCUAAUACCGGAUAGGAGCUCCUGCUGCAUGGUGGGGGUUGGAAAGUUUCGGCGGUUGGGGAUGGACUCGCGGCUUAUCAGCUUGUUGGUGGGGUAGUGGCUUACCAAGUCUUUGACGGGUAGCCGGCCUGAGAGGGUGACCGGCCACAUUGGGACUGAGAUACGGACCAGUCUCCUACGGGAGGCAGCAGUGGGGAAUAUUGCACAAUGGGCGGAAGCCUGAUGCAGCAACGCCGCGUGCGGGAUGACGGCCUUCGGGUUGUAAACCGCUUUCGCCUGUGACGAAGCGUGAGUGACGGUAAUGGGUAAAGAAGCACCGGCUAACUACGUG
Molecule: ribosomal RNA, 468 nt
Filed under: uncultured bacterium
Lineage: Bacteria
Description: partial 16S ribosomal RNA
Rfam family: Bacterial small subunit ribosomal RNA
Source: RNAcentral